This 4854-nucleotide long non-coding RNA is filed under the name Limulus polyphemus (Atlantic horseshoe crab). RNAcentral's name for it is "uncharacterized LOC111087621". The record is from RNAcentral. Lineage: Eukaryota; Metazoa; Arthropoda; Merostomata; Xiphosura; Limulidae.
UUACAUAUAAAAUUUAAUUAUUGAUUAAUCAUUGUUCUUGUCUGUUGAAAGCUGGCAUUUUCUUUAUCUACAAUGUCACUUCCAGUUAAUAGUUUUAUUUGUUCUUGUUGUUUUGGAAAAUUCAGUUCUGAUAGUCUUCAAGCUUGUCUUAAACAGUUUUAUGCCAAACAAGAAAAAAAAACAUUGUUUAAAGAUUACUCUUCCAUUGCACAAAGGAAGAAUAUAUAUAUGUUUAUUGCUGGAAUUGGUACUUUAGGUGUUUGGUAAUUUUAGAACUCUAGUUGUCAGCAUCAAAAAUUUGUUAAAGAUGCAAUCUAAAGAGUAGAUGUUAAUUUUAUAUGAUGCUUAAUUUUAUUUUCUCAUGUAAACCUAGAGAGAAGUGAUAAAUUUUUAAAAAACAAUUAAUUUUUUAUUAAGACAUUUUAACAUAUUCCAAGAAUUUUUUUUUCUCACUAGAGAGAAUUAGAAUUAAAGUAAGAUAAAUGUGCCUAGCACAAAUUUAAAAAAAAACAGUUAAUAAUACAGUUAAAAAAAACUUAAUUGGAUGCUUGUAUUAAAAAAAUAUAAUUUUUAACUAAGAAAUUAACUUUGAGCUAGAAUGUUUUCUCUGUUUUGAAUCAAUAUUAUAACCUAUAUAAAGGUUUCAAAUGCUCAACUUUAAUUCUCAAUACUAACAUAGGUCAUAUUUUUUAAUGGUGAUAUAUUUUUAUUUAGGACGUUGCUACAUUAUACCAAUGUGUAAGUAAUACAAUGCUUCAGUAAACACAAAUUACUAUUCGAUGCAGAAAGUUUAUUUAUAUAUUGGUUGUUUGUGUGUUGUUUUUUUUAACUUUUUAAACCCAUAAUCUUUUGUGCAUUCUGCCGGAAUUAUUUUCAUGAUUUCCUAAUAAUUAUCACCGUAGCUUAUAAACUUCUAAUUUUCUUCAAUUGUGGAUAAUAACAUAGUUUGGAUUAAUUUUCAGCCAAGGGACAUAAAUGUUAUGUGCUGUCACUGUCCAAUGGUUAAAUCAGGAUUUUUGGCGGGACGCUUGGAGCGUCUGCUUGGGUUUAAGGAGUUGAGUAAGGGAAAUUUUUUAGCACUAAUCAUUAUCGUGGGAAUAUGGUAAAAAAAUACGAGGUAAACUAAAAGUAGCUACAUAAUACAAUGAAUUAUGAAUGAAAUGAUUACAUGCUUCUAGUGGUGGUAGUUUUUGAUAUAAAAAACUAAGACUGAUUUAAUUUCACUUUCAUGUUGUUGUUUUCUUGUCUUAUAACUGAAAUGAAUUUGUUCUGUUUAUUUGCUCCAAGUAGUCAUGUUUUGUUUUUAUCACUCAUAUGUAGAUUUUUUCCUUGCAGUUAUGAUGUUAGGACAACAACUAAAUAUCACUUAUCACUGUUCUAGAAGAUAUGAACAAUUCAAAACUUGUCACUUUGUGCCUACAUUAGAAUACUGUAUAAAGCCUCCUAAUCUCAGUUAAUAUAUAGAGCAAAGCACUUUUCCAAAGUUAUCAAAAAUACUAUUUUCUGUAACUAAUAAUGUGUUGGUUUGGAAAAUUAUUUAUUCGUUGCUUGUUUGUAACAAUUUGAAUCCUUGUAAAUUGUUUCAUUUUAGGAAUUUGGUUUUGUAGGUGGGUGUAAAUUUUAUGUAGAUUGUUGUUAAAACCGUUAUUGCUAAUAACUGAUAAGCGUUUGUUGGAAUUAGUCCAUGCAGGUUAUUUAGAGGCCCUCAUGUAAAAAAUAUAUCAGAAUGAAAUUUAAAUUAGCCUUAUCUGAGAUACUGUAUCAAGUAUUUCACUCAGUUUCUAAUCUUUUUUUCUGUUAUUAUUAGCGACGUUUUUAAAAUGUGACUUUUGGUGAUUGGGAUUAAAUGAAUAGAAUAUCCAUUGUUCUUUCAAUCAUAGUUUUCUCUCAUCUAUGUAGCACUCUUAACAAAAUUAAUAUUAAAUACCUUGAUUGAUAGAAAAUUGAUGGCCAUUUUUCUUUUAGAUCUGUAAUCUUGAUCUUUUUCUUUUUUUAAUGUGUUAUUUUUACCUAAAUUUUUCUUUGAUUCCUACCCAACAGAUUUGGGCGUUAAAUGGAAACCUGUUAAUGUGUCCCCAGCACGUUGUCCUACUCCUUUUCUGGCUAUCCUAAGUUUUAGGCCCCCCCCGUCAUGCCGAGCAGUCUGUAAGGGAAACCCCGCGUCACACGGGAUCCAGGCUAGUUCAGGUAGGUGAAUCGAAAUGUGGAAGAUCACCUAACAAUUAGUAUUGUAAUACAUUGCAGGGACGUAAUUAUUGCCAUGUCUUUUAUGCCUCCACGCCAUAUAGUAAUGAUGUAAAUUUGAGAAAACUAUCUAAAAGUUCAACAACAGUUUUUUUUAGUUCCGACUUCUUAUCCCUACGUUAUCAAAGUUGUCCAGUUGAGCUAAGUUAUUUGCAAUAUACUAGAUAUGGUAAAGUUUUUUUUUUUUUUACUAUUCCUGUACCCAUUGACGAUUAUUCGGUAGCAAACGGUGUUGUGCUGUCUUGAGGAUAACAAAUCAUGUAUGCAGUAUAUAAAGGUUUGUUGUUGUUAUUUCUCCAUGGGUGAUAACAAAUCAUGUAUGCAGUAUAUAAAGGUUUGUUGUUAUUUCUCCAUGGGUGAUAACAAAUCAUGUAUGCAGUAUAUAAAGGUUUAAUUGUUGUUAUUUCUCCAUGGGUGAUAACAAAUCAUGUAUGCAGUAUAUAAAGGUUUAAUUGUUUUUAUUUCUCCAUGGGUGAUAAAGCAUAUUCAGUAAAUGGAGGGAACGGAAUAUAUCUUUCUGAAGAAAAAUGUAGUCGUAUGUAUAUCUUAGCCAAGUCUUAACGUUGUCAUCCAAAGUAAAGGUAAACAAAAUGUUAAACAUCUUUAAAUAUUAACAUGUAUUAGCAAUCGUAUUUAACUCAUCUUUUAUGACUUUUGUUAAACAUUUCCAUUAAAUCAUUAGUAGUGAAUCUAUAUUCAAAAAGCAUGGAAAAAUGAGAACUUGGGUUUAAACGCGUAAGAAGCUCCGUCCUCCAGGGUGUUCAAGUACUUGUAACUAAUAGAUUUUAUACCUCCUACAAGUUAAAUUCACACACUCGUUACUUUUUUGUAAACAUGCUUGAUUUGUAACGGGUUUUUCAGUAUCCUUUGUACCCUGCACUAAAACUGUUUUAUAGAAAGCCAUCAUUAAACAUAUCCUGUCUUCAUAAGCAGGUUUACCACUAAAACAGAUCUUGUUUAAGUGUUAAAAAUUAAUAAAGUGAAGUAUCAUUGCAGAGGUCUAGUUGUACAAUAAGUUAUUUGUCAUUAGUAUUUCACGUAAUGUGGUGUUCAGAAUAACUUAUAAAGUAAUGUAAUAUAGUAUUUGAAAUGUUGCUGUUGAAUGAAUGCAGGAAUACAAUGAUUUGGGGAUACCGUUUACAUCUUGAUUGUAGUUUAUAUAUAAUUAGGGUUGUCCUGGUGGAGCUGUUCAUUACGAGAAAUAUAUAUAUAUAUAUAUCGAUUUACACAUGGUAUUGGUGUAUGCUUCCUGAAAGCGUUUUGAGACAAUAGAAACUAUUCUGAUUAUGACAUUAAACAUCACAAGAUCUCUUAUUUUCAACAUUUUUUUUUAUUAGUGUUAUGUAAUAGUAGCAACUGUUUGUGUGGCAUCAGUGUGUAUUUCUGUCUAGGUUAUUAUAUAACUGCAUGUUUUGGAACAUCGUUUAUUUCACAAAAUUAUGUAAAAAUAACCAGCACUAAAAACUUGCAGGAAUUUUUAACAACUCUUACAGGCGUUCAACAUAGUUAAAUCCUAUACAACUGUUAGUAAUAAGUCGAGGUUUCACUGACACGUUUUAAACAACAUUCAGUUUCAGGUACGGAAGAAUUGGAAAUAGUUAAUGGAUUGCAUGUUCAGAAUUUGUUUGAAUGAGAGUAAAAUUUUGUAUUUUAAAUAGUUAUGCAGAAUUAUUCGUAUUAGUUAUACAAUGCAAGCUUAAUUAAGCCUGUUUAUUUUGUGGUUUACAUUUUUAGGAUUUAGCUUUUAUUUAGAUCCAGGUGUUGCCCAGUGAUUAUUGUGCCUGACUGUAGAUCUGUUAUUCCAGUCUUUUCGUCAGUAAUAGCAAACAAAAAAACGCACAUUGUAUUCCUGGGUGCGUUAUAAGGGUGACGUUGAAAUCCCACUAUUCGGUUAAACAAGAAUGGCUGUAGGAUAGUGUUGGCUAGCUGCUUUCCCUCCAGUCUAUCAAUUCAAAAUUAAGGAUGUCUUUCAAAUCGUGCUAUUGGGCAGAAAUCAGAUCCAGCCACAAGAAUCGCUUUAAACAUUUUAUAGUUCAUACUGUUCAGUCAUCAGUGUUUUUAUAUAAACGUUGAACUGGUAAUAUGUUCGAUAGGGUCAUUUGGUUGUGUUACAAAUAAACUUGCUUAUUUUGAAUAUGUACGUUUUUACCACGUGAAUGUUAGUUGUCUUUUAUAGGUUCUAAAUGUGUCAUUUCUUUAGUCAAAUAAUACGUUGUAGGCACAUGGAGAGACUCGGUUCUGAGUAUUCUUGAUUUUUAUUAAAUUAACAUGAAAAGUGCAGCUCACGGUUCCAGUAUCGUGUUUGAUUUGCCUUCUACCUGACCGAGUAAAGGUAACAACAACUGGUAGGGCACCAUUAAAUUACAGCCUGUGAUAAGUCAAGUUUACGAAUUAGAAUAUUUUACUCGGAGAAUAUAAGUAAUCAGGCAUGUUGCUGGUAGUCACUUACCAGGAAUCCAUAUGAUUCAAAAUGUAUAGUAAGGACAGUUGAUUUUAUAUCAUUAGACAAGGUAUGUUAACGAAACCUCUCAAAUGCUGUACCAUGCUAAACUUAUCAAUGUUUGUUUUCAGACUAAAAGAGAAUAUUAAAGAUCUUAUUAACUCAUCUUA